CUAUCCAAAGUGCCCAUUCCACAACACUUACUAAUACGUCACUUGCAUAUUGAGUAUUCUUCCAUUUCAUUAGAAUUUUACCCGUUGAACACAUCGGAAUAUAACUCAGAUACUUGGAAAGUUUACACAUAAGUGCCACAUAUGUAGCCAAGCUACCAUGUAACCCACCCAUAAGCAAACUCGAACUCAACUCAACGAGCUCGG
This 204-nucleotide long non-coding RNA is filed under the name Gossypium barbadense (sea-island cotton). Its description in RNAcentral is "long non-coding RNA (GBAR_LNC010495)". The record is from RNAcentral. Lineage: Eukaryota; Viridiplantae; Streptophyta; Magnoliopsida; Malvales; Malvaceae.